GUCGGGAGUCUUGCACAAUGGGGGAAACCCUGAUGCAGCGACGUCGCGUGUGGGAUGAAGUAUUUCGGUAUGUAAACCACUUUUGCGGGGGGCGAAAAAAAUGACGGUACCCCGCGAAUAAGCCCCGGCUAACUACGUGCCAGCAGCCGCGGUAAUACGUAGGGGGCGAGCGUUGCUCGGAUUGACUGGGCGUAAAGCGCGCGUAGGCGGUCCAUUAAGUGUGCGGUGAAAUUCGGAGGCUCAACCUCCGUCCCGCCGCGCAAACUGAUGGUCUUGAGAUUGGGAGGGGGAUGCGGAAUUCCUGGUGUAGCGGUGAAAUGCAUUGAUAUCAGGAGGAACACCGGCGGCGAAAGCGGCAUCCUGGCUUAUAUCUGACGCUGAGGCGCGAAAGCGUGGGUAGCAAACGGGAUUAGAUACCCCAGUAGUCC
RNAcentral lists this ribosomal RNA (428 nucleotides) under uncultured bacterium. Its description in RNAcentral is "partial 16S ribosomal RNA". It matches the Rfam family "Bacterial small subunit ribosomal RNA", at positions 354 to 796 of the family's 1533-position model. The record is from RNAcentral.